GGAAAAGCUCAGCAGAGGGGCUGCAGGCACGGUCCGUGGCUGCCCAGUCCUGCCCCGGUGCCAGGAGCAGCGAAGAAGGAGGUUUGCAAAGCGGUGUCGUUUCUCCUCCCUGGUCCGGGUAAGAGGACGAUGAAGAUCCUGCUGGUGGUCCUGGCCCUGCUGCUUGCUUGUGGCAUGCUUGCUGCUCACGGAAAGCUCCCGCCUGCAUUCGCCCCGGGGCUGGAGGGAAGCAUGGUGGCAAACCUGACUGCGCACAUCUGCGACUCGGGAUGGGGCCGCGGGCACGCAGCGAAGGCUUCGAUGCACCGGUGCUGCCGGCUCCGUGCCUGCUGCUACGCCCGGCUGGCUGCGCGCCGCUGCCGCGUGGGACAGAGCCAGCGCCUCGCCGCCUCCCGGGCAGGGGGCCCUGCCUGCAGAUUGGGGACCCGGUGCCAGCGGGGAGCCUGCAAAUGCGAGCGGGCGACUCGGCUCUGCUGGGCACGCAGCCGGGCGCUGCUCAAGUGCCAGGGCCGAGGCAGGCGUUGCUGACGGAGAGGGGCCCUUCACGAACCCACCUCCGUGCUGGAGGAAAGCCGCCCUCGUGUGAAGCUGCGUCAUUAGACACUGGAUCCGAGGAGGGAGAGCUGCACAGAUGCGAUAUUUCUGCUGAGAAAAACAAGGGAGGAGCGGGACACCUGCGCCUUGUCACAGUGAAGGGCGAGGUGAUGGAAGCCAGCACAAGUUGGCAAUUUGUCCUCUUCGGCUCCAGCUCCCCACGCGCAAGUCGCUGCACGGAAACGUCGUGGCUCCCCCAGCUGUUUGCUUCACCGCAGAAUAAAACUAAAACAAAUAUUCCAAGUAAAAUAUAUAAAAUAUUUGGAAUAUUCCAAAUAUUCCAAAAUAAAUAUUGCAAAAUAAAGCCGGAGAGCAAAAAGCUUUGGGCCUCUGUGUGCUGCAACUCCGCCGUACCCAGUGACAACCCCUGGCACCGGGGAGAAGCUCACCUGUGCUCAGGACUUCCCAUUGAAAUACCAAAACCCUAAAACUGGAGCUGCGCAGCAGAGUCCAGAGCCUGUUUCAAACAUCACCCCCAAUACCUGGAGCCCCUGAUUUAACACUGACAGCGGGAGGUUCUUGCGUCCUGCAGCAGCGUUUCCAAAUGGCUCAGAGCUCGCCUUUGCCUGGCUUGUGCCUGGUCUCGCCAGACGAGGCACAGCACGAGGGUUUAGGCACCGCUGAAAUAAAGCGCGUGCCAAUUUCUGCCA
Anser cygnoides (Swan goose) is the source of this 1244-nucleotide long non-coding RNA. NCBI's taxonomy places the organism in Eukaryota, Metazoa, Chordata, Aves, Anseriformes, Anatidae. The record is from Ensembl.